GUGGGGAAUUUUGGACAAUGGGCGCAAGCCUGAUCCAGCAAUGCCGCGUGCAGGAAGAAGGCCUUCGGGUUGUAAACUGCUUUUGUACGGAACGAAACGGUCCGGGUUAAUACCCUGGGCUAAUGACGGUACCGUAAGAAUAAGCACCGGCUAACUACGUGCCAGCAGCCGCGGUAAUACGUAGGGUGCGAGCGUUAAUCGGAAUUACUGGGCGUAAAGCGUGCGCAGGCGGUGCUGUAAGACAGGCGUGAAAUGCCCGGGCUCAACCUGGGAAUUGCGCUUGGGACUGCAGUGCUGGAGUACAGCAGAGGGGGAUGGAAUUCCGCGUGUAGCAGUGAAAUGCGUAGAUAUGCGGAGGAACACCGAUGGCGAAGGCAGUCCCCUGGGCCUGUACUGACGCUCAUGCACGAAAGCGUGGGGAGCAAACAGGAUUAGAUACCCGGGUAGUCC
RNAcentral lists this ribosomal RNA (450 nucleotides) under uncultured bacterium. RNAcentral's name for it is "partial 16S ribosomal RNA". It matches the Rfam family "Bacterial small subunit ribosomal RNA", at positions 354 to 796 of the family's 1533-position model. The record is from RNAcentral.